RNAcentral lists this ribosomal RNA (479 nucleotides) under uncultured Magnetospirillum sp. RNAcentral's name for it is "bacterial SSU rRNA". It matches the Rfam family "Bacterial small subunit ribosomal RNA", at positions 61 to 587 of the family's 1533-position model. The record is from RNAcentral. Lineage: Bacteria; Pseudomonadati; Pseudomonadota; Alphaproteobacteria; Rhodospirillales; Rhodospirillaceae.
GUCGACGAUACCUUCGGGUAUAGUGGCGCACGGGUGAGUAACACGUGGGUAUAUACCUUUCAGUGGGGGAUAACAUCGGGAAACUGAUGCUAAUACCGCAUACGCCCUUAGGGGGAAAGAUUUAUCGCUGAAAGAUUAGCCCGCGUCCGAUUAGCUAGUUGGUGAGGUAAUGGCUCACCAAGGCGACGAUCGGUAGCUGGUCUGAGAGGAUGACCAGCCACACUGGGACUGAGACACGGCCCAGACUCCUACGGGAGGCAGCAGUGGGGAAUAUUGGACAAUGGGCGCAAGCCUGAUCCAGCCAUGCCGCGUGAGUGAUGAAGGCCUUAGGGUUGUAAAGCUCUUUCGACGGGGACGAUGAUGACGGUACCCGUAGAAGAAGCCCCGGCUAACUUCGUGCCAGCAGCCGCGGUAAUACGAAGGGGGCUAGCGUUGUUCGGAAUUACUGGGCGUAAAGCGCACGCAGGCGGUUCGAUUAG